Oncorhynchus tshawytscha (Chinook salmon) is the source of this 698-nucleotide long non-coding RNA. The record is from Ensembl. NCBI's taxonomy places the organism in Eukaryota, Metazoa, Chordata, Actinopteri, Salmoniformes, Salmonidae.
GGUGACAGAGAGAAAGACAUACAGUGAGAGAGAGAAAGACAGAGAGAGAGAGAGAGGGGGAGGUGACAGAGAGAAAGACAUACAGUGAGAGAGAGAAAGACAGAGAGAGAGAGAGAGGGGGAGGUGAGGUGACAGAGAGAAAGACAUACAGUGAGAGAGAGAAAGACAGAGAGAAAGACAGAGAGAGAGAGAGGGGGGGUGACAGAGAGAAAGACAUACAGUGAGAGAGAGAAAGACAGAGAGAGAGAGAGAGAGGGAGGUGACAGAGAGAAAGACAUACAGUGAGAGAGAAAGACAGAGAGAGAGAGAGGGGGGGGUGACAGAGAGAAAGACAUACAGUGAGAGAGAGAAAGAAAGACAGAGAGAGAGAGAGAGAGAGAGGGGGAGGUGACAGAGAGAAAGACAUACAGUGAGAGAGAGAAAGACCGAGAGAGAGAGAGAGGGGGGGGGUGACAGAGAGAAAGACAUACAGUGAGAGAGAGAAAGACCGAGAGAGAGAGAGAGAGAGAGAAAGACAGAGAGAGAGAGAGGGGGGGAGGUGACAGAGAGAAAGACAUACAGUGAGAGAGAGAAAGACCAAGAGAGAGAGAGAGGGGGGAGGUGACAGAGAGAAAGACAUACAGUGAGAGAGAGAAAGACAGAGAGAGAGAGAGAGAGAGAGAGAGAGAGGAGGUGACAGAGAGAAAGACAUACAGUGA